This 411-nucleotide ribosomal RNA is filed under the name Verrucomicrobiota bacterium. RNAcentral describes it as "Verrucomicrobia bacterium partial 16S ribosomal RNA". It matches the Rfam family "Bacterial small subunit ribosomal RNA", at positions 355 to 776 of the family's 1533-position model. The record is from RNAcentral. Lineage: Bacteria; Pseudomonadati; Verrucomicrobiota.
UGGGGAAUCUUGCGCAAUGGGGGAAACCCUAACGCAGCGACGCCGCGUGCGGGAUGAAGGCCUUCGGGUUGUAAACCGCUUUCAGCAGGGACGAGGCCUUAUGGUGACGGUACCUGCAGAAGAAGCUCCGGCUAAAUACGUGCCAGCAGCCGCGGUAAUACGUAUGGAGCAAGCGUUAUCCGGAUUCAUUGGGCGUAAAGCGCUCGUAGGCGGUCUGUUAGGUCGGCAAGUUAAAUCCGGGGGCUCAACCCCCGUCCGCUUCCGAUACCGGCAGACUUGAGUUUGGUAGGGGAAGGUGGAAUUCCUAGUGUAGCGGUGGAAUGCGCAGAUAUUAGGAAGAACACCGGUGGCGAAGGCGGCCUUCUGGGCCAUAACUGACGCUGAGGAGCGAAAGCUAGGGGAGCGAACAGG